CAGUCGCCACGGGAAUACGGAGGGUGCAAGCGUUAUCCGGAUUUAUUGGGUUUAAAGGGUCCGUAGGCGGACUUAUAAGUCAGUGGUGAAAGCCUGUCGCUUAACGAUAGAACUGCCAUUGAUACUGUAAGUCUUGAGUAUAUUUGAGGUAGCUGGAAUAAGUAGUAUAGCGGUGAAAUGCAUAGAUAUUACUUAGAACACCAAUUGCGAAGGCAGGUUACCAAGAUAUAACUGACGCUGAGGGACGAAAGCGUGGGUAGCGAACAGGAUUAGAUACCCCCGUAGUCCCUGUCUCUUAUAC
RNAcentral lists this ribosomal RNA (301 nucleotides) under uncultured bacterium. RNAcentral describes it as "partial 16S ribosomal RNA". It matches the Rfam family "Bacterial small subunit ribosomal RNA", at positions 509 to 807 of the family's 1533-position model. The record is from RNAcentral.